This 254-nucleotide ribosomal RNA is filed under the name uncultured archaeon. RNAcentral describes it as "partial 16S ribosomal RNA". It matches the Rfam family "Archaeal small subunit ribosomal RNA", at positions 474 to 727 of the family's 1478-position model. The record is from RNAcentral.
UACUAGCGGUCCAAGUCGCAGCCAUUUUUAUUGGGUCUAAAACAUCCGUAGCUUGCUUGGUAAGUUUCUUGUGAAAUCCGGCUUCUCAAGAGUCGGGCGCGCAAGAAGUACUGCCAGGCUAGAGACUGGAAGACGUAGGAAGUACGUUCAAAGUAGCGGUAAAAUGUGUUAAUCUUGAACGGACUCACAACAGCGAAGGCAUCCUACGAGGACAGUUCUGACAGUAAGGGAUGAAGGCUAGGGGCGCAAAACGG